GGGAGCAGGAGGACCGCUGACAGGGUUAGACCCUGAGGAAAGUCCCCUCUCCGUAGUGCAAACGGUCCGGGGCAAUCCGGAUGCCUGGGAGGGCAGGCUCUGUAGCAGAAACGAACAGUGUUGGGGUAGUACAAUGAUGCCGAAAGGCGGAGGUUUCCCGACUACUGAUGAGACGAGCAUCCCCGUUGGAGCAAGUCCAAACAGACCCGUCGACGCGGCACGCAGAGGGUCGGGUAGGACGCAUAGUUGAAUGCGGUUAACCGUAAAUGGCGAACAGAAAGGGGCUUAUUCCCUGCACCC
RNAcentral lists this RNase P RNA (300 nucleotides) under Methanobacteriota archaeon. RNAcentral describes it as "Euryarchaeota archaeon (marine metagenome) RNase P RNA component". It matches the Rfam family "Archaeal RNase P". From Rfam's summary of the family: Ribonuclease P (RNase P) is a ubiquitous endoribonuclease, found in archaea, bacteria and eukarya as well as chloroplasts and mitochondria. Its best characterised activity is the generation of mature 5'-ends of tRNAs by cleaving the 5'-leader elements of precursor-tRNAs. Cellular RNase Ps are ribonucleoproteins. The record is from RNAcentral. Lineage: Archaea; Methanobacteriati; Methanobacteriota.